GGGGAGAGGAGGUGGGCUGAGGGGGCUGAUUUCUAUUUUUUCUUUUCUUUCUCUUUUCUUUCUCUUUUCUUUUUAUUUCAGUUUGAUAUUAUGCGCAAAUUAAUGAUUAAAUGAAAGAUCAAGCAAACCAUUCGUCAAACAAAAAUAAAUGCCUUCAAACAUGAUGCAAUGAUCAUUGUUCCCUUAGGGUUUAGCCUACUAGAUUAUAAUUACAUCUACAAAUAAAAAUAACCACUCUUCUUCUAUAGAAAAGAGAAAGAGGAGAUUGGGGAAGAUGAGAAGAGAGGAGUAACACCUGAAUUUGCGAAUAUGAGCAAAGAAAUUUUAUACCCCAAAUUCCGGGUGUUACAUGUGGCAUCGUCGUCUAGCACAUGUUGGGAUGAAGAACCUUCAUAAACUUCUAAAGGGAGAACAUGUGUUAGGACUAACAAAUGUUUGUUUCGAGAAAGAUAGACCUUAUGCAGCUUGUUAGGCAGGAAAACAAGUGGGGAGCACUCAUCACAACAAGAAUGUGAUGACAACAUCAAGACCACUGGAGCUACUACAUAUGGACCUCUUCGGACCCGUCGCCUACCUUAGCAUCGGAGGAAGUAUGGUCUUGUUAUUGUUGAUGAUUUUUCCCACUUCACUUGGGUGUUCUUUUUGCAGGAUAAAUCAAAAACCCAAGGGACCCUCAAGCGCUUUCUAAGACGGGCUCAAAAUGAAUUUGAGCUCAAGGUGAAAAAGAUAAGAAGCGACAACGGGUCUGAGUUCAAGAAUUUGCAAGUGGAGGAGUAUCUUGAGGAAGAAGGUGUCAAGCACGAGUUCUUCGCUCCCUAAACACCACAACAAAAUGGUGUGGUAGAGAGGAAGAACAGGACGCUUAUCGACAUGGUGAGAACGAUAAUUGGAGAAUUCAAGACGCUCGAGCGGUUUUGGUCGGAAGUUGUGAACAUAGCUUGCCACGCCAUAAACCGGCUCUACCUACAUCGCCUCCUCAAGAAGACCUCGUACGAACUUCUUACCGGUAACAAACCCAACAUCUCAUACUUUCGUGUAUUUGGGAGCAAAUGUUACAUUCUAGUGAAGAAAGGUAGAAAUUCUAAAUUUGCUCCCAAGGCAGUAGAAGGGGUUUUUACUAGGGUAUGACUCAAAUACAAGGGCGUAUAGAGUCUUCAAUAAAUCAUCGGGUUUAGUUGAAGUCUCUAGCGACGUUGUAUUUGAUGAGACUAAUGGCUCUCCAAGAGAGCAAGUUGAUCUUGAUGAUGUAGAUGAAGAUGAUGUUCCAACGGCCGCAAUACGCACGAUGGCGAUUGGAGAUGUGCGACCACAGGAACAACAGGAGCAAGAUCAGCCUUCUUCCUCAACUAUGGUGCAUCCCCCAACUCAAGAUGAUGGAUAGGUUCCUCAAGAAGAAGCGUGUGACCAAGGGGGAGCACAAGAAGAACAAGUUAUGGAGGAAGAAGCAUCACUGGCCCCUCCAACUCAACUCCGAGCGACGAUCCAAAGAAAUCGCCCUGUCGAUCAGAUUCUGGGUGACAUAAGCAAGGGAGUAACAACUCACUCACGUUUAGCUAAUUUUUGUGAGCAUUACUUGUUUGUCUCUUCUAUUGAUCCUUUCAGGGUAGAAGAGGCCUUGCAGGAUCCGGACUAGGUGUUGGCCAUGCAGGAAGAGCUCAACAACUUCAAGAGGAAUGAAGUUUAGAGCCUUGUGCCAUGUCCCAAGCAAAAUGUUGUGGAAACCAAGUGGGUGUUCCGCAACAAGCAAGACGAGCACGGGGUGGUGACAAGAAACAAGGCUCGACUUGUGGCAAAAGGUUAUGCCCAAGUCGCAGGUUUGGAUUUCGAGGAGACUUUUGCUCUUGUGACUAGGCUAGAGUCUAUUCGAAUAUUAUUAGCCUAUGCCGCUCACCACUCUUUCAGGUUGUUUCAAAUGUAUGUGAAGAGCACUUUCCUCAACGGGCCAAUCAAGGAGGAGGUGUACGUGGAACAACCCCCUGGCUUUGAGGAUGACAGGUAUCCCGACCACGUUUUUAAGCUCUCUAAGGCACUCUAUAGACUUAAGCAAGCCCCAAGAGCAUGGUAUGAAUGCCUUAGAGAUUUCUUAAUUGCUAAUGCUUUCAAGGUUGGGAAAGCCGAUCCCACUCUUUUCACUAAGACUUGUGACAAUGACCUUUUUGUGUGCCAAAUUUAUGUCGAUGACAUAAUAUUCGGUUCUACUAAUCAAAAGUCUUGUGAGGAGUUUAGCAGGGUGAUGACUCAAAAGUUUGAGAUGUCUAUGAUGGGCGAGUUGACCUACUUCCUUGGGUUCCAAGUGAAGCAACUCAAGGAUGGCACUUUCCUCUCCCAAACGAAGUACACUCAAGAUCUUCUCAAGAGGUUUGGGAUGAAGGAUGCCAAGCCCGCGAAGACACCGAUGGGAACCGACGGACGUGUCGACCUCAACAAAGGAGGUAAGUCCAUUGAUCAAAAGGCAUACCGGUUUGUGAUAGGUUCCUUGCUUUAUUUAUGUGCUAGUAGACCGGACAUUAUGCUUAGUGUAUGCAUGUGUGCUAGAUUUCAAUCCGACCCCAAGGAAUGUCACCUUGUGGCCGUUAAGCGAAUUCUUAGAUAUUUAGUUGCUACGCCUUGCUUCGGGAUCUGGUAUCCAAAGGGGUCUACCUUUGACUUAAUUGGAUAUUCAGACUCCGAUUAUGCCGGGUGCAAGGUUGAUAGGAAGAGUACAUCAGGGAUGUGCCAAUUCCUAGGAAGGUCCCUGGUGUCUUGGAGGUCAAAGAAACAAACAUCUGUUGCCCUAUCCACCACUGAGGUCGAGUAUGUUGCCGCAGGAUAGUGUUGCGCGCAACUACUUUGGAUGAGGCAAACCCUCCGGGACUUUGGCUACAAUCUAAGCAAAGUCCCACUCCUAUGUGACAAUGAGAGUGCAAUCUGCAUGGCGGAUAAUCCUGUUGAACACAGCGCACUAAGCACAUAGACAUCCGGCAUCACUUCCUGAGAGACCACCAGCAAAAGGGAGAUAUCGAGGUGUACUAUAUUAACACCGAGAACCAGCUAGCCGAUAUCUUCACCAAGCCUUUAUAUGAGAAAAGGUUCUGUAGGUUGCGUAGUGAGCUAAAUGUCUUAGAUUCGCGUAACUUGGAUUGAUCUAUAGCAUACAUGUGUUCUAUGCCUUUGAUCAUGUUACUUUAUGCAUUUAUGUAAUUUGUUACUUAUUUAUGGUGCUCAUGUUGUGCAAGGGAUCCCCGAACCUCACAAGUCCAUGUGUGAGUGAUGCACAUAUUUAGGGGGAGAUGUGCUACAACUUGACCCUUUGAAACUAAUCCGUUUGUUUGAGUAUACUUGAUGUAGUCUCAAAGGUGGAUUGAAUGGGAAAGGUGAACUUGGACCAUGCAAAGACUUCCACUGCACUCCGGUAUUAGUGUACUUAAUUCCAAGUUCAUUCGUAUACUCUUAUUGCCUUUUUGCUCUUAAUUGACAUUUUUUGGUGAGGCAAUGGGGUUAAAGGGCCAAGAAUAAUCCCGUUUUGGUGCUUAAUGCCAAAGGGGGAGAAAUUAAGGCCAAAGCAAGCAAAUGGAUCAGCUACCACUUGUGAAUUUUGAAAACAAUAGAGUUAGAGCUUUUGAUUUGCCAAAAUACUCUAAUUGCAAAAUUUUGUCUCUUAUGGGGGAGAAUUUUGAUAAUGGGAAAAAGGGGGAGUUUUUGGCUCUUGAUCAUUUUCACUCUUGGAUUAUCUCUCUUGAUGCCCAAACAAGUGAGUUUGAAUUAGAGAUAGGAAAAUGAAUUUGAUUUGCAAAAACAAACCAAGUGGUGGUAAAGAUUUAUCCAAAUAUGUCAAAACUUGUGCAAAGACAAUUUUGUUUUCAAUUGCAUUGAUGUUGCACUUCUUUUGGUUGCUUUUGGAUGUGUUGGCAUAAUUCACCAAAAAGGGGGAGAUUUAAAGGGAAAUGUGCCCUUGGGCAAUUUCUAUUAUGUUUUGGUGAUUAAGUGUCCAACACAUUUAAUUAAGUUCUAAUGUGCUAAAUGAAGAGAAAAGUGCAAAUCAAGACAAGAGGUAUGUUUCUAGACUUAGUACAUUGUUUUGAGUACUAACAUAUUGUGUCUAAGUGCUAGAAACAGGAAAAGAAAGAAUUGCAAAAGAGGUGGCUGUGUGCAGCCAACUUCAGCUCGGCUUGGCAUACCGGACUGUCCGGUGGUGCACCGGACAGUGUCCGGUGCGCCAGGCUAGUUCGCGUGAACAGGCCGCUCUCGAGACUCGACGGCGGCGUACGACUAUAAUUCACCGGACUGUCCGGUGGUGCACCGGACUGUCCGGUGAGUCGUCCGCGGCGAACUCGUCGCUCUCGGGAAGAGGAUCAGCAGCGUACGGCUAAAAUUCACCGGACUGUCCGGUGGUGCACCGGACUGUCCGGUGAGCCAACGGUUGUCUGCGCUAACGGUCGGUCGCGCAAUCUUCGCGCGACGCGUGGCAGCUCCAACGGUCGGCGGGGGGCACGGGACAGUGUCCGGUGCGCCAACCGGCCCAGAGCUGCAACGGUCGUCUGUGCCAGAAAAGGAAGGAGAUCGGCACCAGACCGUCUACAGUGACUGUCCGGUGGUGCACCGGACUGUCCGGUGUGCCACUCGAUAGAAGGCAAGGAUAGCCUUCCUCGUUGAUCUUCAACGCCUCCUAGCUGCCUUGGGGCUAUAAAAGGGACCCCUAGGCGCAUGGAGGAGCUACACAAGCUUACAAGAAACAUUCUAAUACUCCAAUACUCCAACUUUACGCAUUCGAUUCUUUGAGAUAGUGACUUGAGCUCCAUUUGAGUUGGGAACUCCGCGCGUUGUGUUUUGAGCUCGAGUUGUGACUUGUGUGCGUGAUUGUACUGCGAUUUGUGUCUUGUGUGUGUUGCUUAUCCCAACCUUACUCUGUGCUUUCAUUGUGAUCUUGUUGUAAGGGCGAGAGACUCCAAUCUUGUGGAGAUUCCUCGCAAACGGGAAUAAUCAUCUCAAGGAAAAACCGUGGUAUUCAAGUUGAUCGUCGGAUCACUUGAAAAGGGUUGAGUGCAACCCUCGUCCAUUGGGACGCCACAACGUGGAAGUAGGCAAGUGUUACUUGGCCGAACCACGGGAUAAAAUCGCGUGUCUCUUGUUAUUGCUCUCUCCUUGAUUGUCUGUGUUCUCAAGAGCUCGUUUCAAGCUACUUAGCCGUUCUAACUUUCAUAACUAAGUUUUGUGGCUAUCAGUGUUGAAUUUUACAGGAUCACCUAUUCACCCCCCCCCCUCUAGGUGCUCUCAAGCACGCAAUAGGAGACUGAACAGCAAAAAGUGCCAGCAGACCACACACACCUGCUCUUCACUAAACACCCAAAAGAAUCCUUGACCUAAAAAUUCCAGCACCAGGAACAAAAGCCUCAAGAUGUCUAGCACCGGCAAGCCUCCAGUACUCAACUUCAUCCAAAAAAAUGUCUUUAAGCCAUUAAUUGAAGGACUAACACCAUCAAAAACCACCUUAUUACGAUGAAGCCAUAAACACCAAGCCCCUAAGAUGAUGAUACUGUUAAAGCCUCUUCUUUUGGAUUUGUGCACUUGCUUACUUACUUUCGCUCACCAGUCAGUAAAAGCGGACCAUUAACCUUAAUAAUAUUCUAAAGUAGAAACCUCAUGCAUUGCAGGUCAAUGAUCCUACAGACAACACCACCUUCGAUCUUCAGCCUUUAGAUGCCAUAAACAUUUCUGUUCAUUGCAAGGUAUUUUCUGUAUAAGUCCUUGCUACAUGCUAAUUUUUUUAGUAAAUUCAUUUUUAUUAUCUCUACUAAUCCAUAUGUACGGACUGUGGGCGUCCACCCAGCUUCACCAAGCCUCCGCCCUUCCCCACCGCCCACGGCGCGCAGUUCCCGCUAAGGCUCCUCGCCCGCAAUGCGCCCUUCCCCACCGCCCGCGGCGCACAGUUCCCGCUAUGGCUCCUCACCCUCGGCCAUCUGCCUCCCCCACAACGCGCGUCUUUCCCCGCAGCGAACAUGACCGCGCCCCCCCCCCCCAAAUCCUGCCAUGGUCCAGGGCUACCGAAAGUGCACGACCCCCAAAUCCCGCCAUGGUCGAGCGUCGACAACGCCGACCUCGCCCCAGAUCGAUAGCGCCAACAUCUCCCCAAAUCCCAACAGCACCGAUAGCGCCGACCUCGCCCCAAAUCCCGACAGCGCCGACAUCGCUGACAGCACGCGGCCCCCAAAUCCCGCCAUCGCCCAGACAUCGCCCCAGAUCGAUGAUAAUCUGGCAGCCCACAACCCUGUCAUCCCCGACCAUGGCCCCAAACCUCGCCCUAGAUCAAUGCAGACCUACCAUCGACGCCGAUUUGGGUCCUCCUUAAAGACCAUGGCAGGACGCUCCUAAUCCUCGUCUUCUUUCGCUCUCCAAGGAAUACUAUUGUUGCGGCGUCAACAUUCCAAGGUAAUGUCUCUGUACUGUUUGGUUCUUUACUACGAUUCUAGCACUGUUGUAAACAUAAUUUAUCAGUUCAAACAGAAUGACUAGGUAAACAUAAUGUCUCUGUAUGCUUGAUUAUUUUUGGUUUGACUAGACUCCUUAAAGACCAUGUUUUUCAUACCCUGCGGAGUGAUCAUCCCGAUUUUAAUGCAUUUUGUUCUGUCUCAAGCCUUUUCCAAGCAAAACACUGAUGAUAACCUCAAAAUUUUCUCCAUUGUGGGUAGCAACUAUUGAACAGCCAAGAUAUCAACAACGAAGAAUAACCAAUUUCGAAUUCACCUCAAUCAACAAUAAGUAUGCACCACUCCUCUCAGGCCAUUUUCCAUCAUCAAUUCUCUCUCAUUUUUAUAAUGGGACAACUAUGAAAACUGAAAAUACAAAACUGAAAAUGGAUUAGUUUGCUGGAAUAUUAAGUUAAUGAUUAUGUCGGAGAGGAAAUCUCCGGCCGAGUGGCGGAAGCGCACAGGAUAAAGUCUGGACACGUGUUAGUACCGGACCCUUGCCUGUCCUUGACCUAGGCCAGGGUAUUCCCUGUCCCGGGACCUUGCUGUGGGUGGUCCGGACCUCACCCAGGGGGGGUCCGGAUCCCACCCAAGGGCUCCGGCUUGCUUACUUGGGGGUCCUAGGCCGUACUUCGGAGGUCCGGGUUGUGCGUAAGGGGUCCGGCGCCUUCUUAUGGAGGUUCGGACCCACUGAUAGUAUCUUGGAGUAUACCACCUCUUCUGGCCACGUGGCGUCCUUGGGGCCAUCCACGUGGCGGAGUCGGGUGUUGCCGUGGGUCUUGAGUAGCCGCCCGUGUCUGGGGCGAGCCGCGCUUGGACUCAUGUACGGUGCUUCUGUCACGCGAAUAAGGGAUAGCCGUGUGGGCUCUCUGCAGCGGGGUACCCUAGUUUCUUUAUAAGGCCAUAAAGGAAUUUUGUUCUCCGCUAUAAUGAAAAAGAGAGAAAAGAAAUAGGAAAUCUCCAUUUCCCUGUGGUCAUUUCAUUUGAUUUGGCAGCCACUGAGCAGUGACCACCAGCAGCUGACACGAGGACACAACAGAGAUAAGGCCCGCUCCGCCCGCAGUCGUCCCCAGCUCGCGCGACAUGGCGCCCGCCGCCCGGUGGUCCACGUCCCCUGUGCUCUUCCUCCUCCUGCUGCUCGCGGCGGCCACGGCGACGACGACCACUACGGCAAAGGAUGGGCAUCCGUCGCCGACGCCGUGGCCGGAGCGUUUCCACGCGGUGCUGUUCACGAACCUGACCAACUACACGGAAGCCUCCACGGGCCCGCCGCUGCGCGUGACGGACCUCUACUACGACUGGCCGCGGCGGCGGAACCUGAACCUGGUGCGGCACCAGCUGUCGGCCGACCCGCUGUACGACGUGGAGUGGAACAACGGCACCGGCUUCUACUUCGACUCCAAGGCGUGCCGCGUGGAGCAGUUCCCCGUGGGCGUGCUGCCGCCGUGGUGGCUCUCCGGCGGCGGCGCCGAGUACGUGGGCCGCCGCGUCGCGGGCGGGAUCGACUGCCACGUGUGGGGCAAGGCCGGCUUCAUCUUCUACUACGAGGAGGCGCGCACGGGGCGGCCCGUGCGCUGGGACUUCGUCGACGGUACUGUACUGUACACUGUACUGCAACGAUUUUUUAUUUAUUUAUUUUUAGGAUUGAUUUGUUUGCCAUGAAUGAGUAUAUCUGCACUGCAGUGACGGGGAUCCAGCAGUUCGUGAUGAGCUUCGAACCCGGAGCUGCGCUGGAGGACGACGCGCAGUGGCAGGCUCCUGCAUACUGCUUCCCGGACGACGACGAUGCCGCAAGGAGCAGUGGUGAGGAGGAAGCUGGGGUUGGGCUUGAGGCGGCGAGCAGAUUACUCAGGAAGCUAGCAGGAGCUGCAGCAACCUAUUGACUGUGUUGUGUUGUACUGUAGGAUUUAUGUACCGUAUUAAUUUCGAGCACAACAGAUAUACUUAUGUUCUUGUAGUACUACCUAAUUGCCUAGUUUCCUAUUGCUGGCUUGCUGCUCCUGUUGUAAACAAACAGAUAUACUUAGUAAAUUAUGAAAUCGUGCUGUCGGCUUCCGGAUCUCCACACACACUACUUUAGUUUCAGAAUAUAUGGGCACAGCUCAUACAAAAAGAAUCUCUAUAUCAUCCCACCUAUUCAGCAUAGCAUAGAUUAUUGCAGGGGUAUGACAAUUGUGCCACUGUUAUCAACCUAAUAAUACAUAACAGCAGGGAUUUAUCCCAGAUUUACAAGGCUGUUCUUCUGUUCAGUCCGCAGAUGAGAAGGUGUCCAGCCCUCAGAACCGGCAAAGUAGCGACCUGGGGUUCACCCUCCUCUCCUUGACGCCCGACGCAGCGGAAGCCUUCUUCAUCUCCUUGCUGCUCCUGAGAGAGGACCUCGGCCCCAGGCCCCCUCCGCGGCGGGCCGCAAAGUCGACGGCUGGCAUAGACCUCCUCACGGACUCGCCGCCGCCGCUCGUGGCGGUGUAGGCCUUCUUGGCGACGCGGCGCUUGGACAGCUCGACGGCGACACAGGGGUCCUUCGCCAUCGCCUCAGGUUCUACCGAGUACGUGGACGCAAACUCAUCAGAGUAGUAGUAGUAGGGGAAGCCCUGCUUGCGCUUGAGCCGCUCGUUGCGGCGCGCCGAGUAGGCGUCGUACAGCCUGCCGCGCACGAAGAGCGGGCCGCCGUCCGGCGUGCCCGCUGCCCUGGCGAUCGCCGCGAGGUUCAGCGCCACUAGCUCGUCGUGGGCGUCCGCGCCGGCCGGGAGGAGGUUCUCCUCCUCGAAACCCGACCUAGCUGCCGGGGGCGUCGGCGGUGGCGCCGCGGCGGGAAGGAAGUUCUCCUUCUCGCCCGCCUCCCUCGCUGGGGGCGACGACGACGCGGCCACGACGUGCGUCGGGGGCUGGAGCGCGGAGGUCACGCGCGCGCGCAUCGGGUUUGGUUCGCCGCGGACCAGCGACGGGAGGGCGGAGAUUGAAGCGCGCACCGGCGAAGGGAUCGCGCAGACGGACGCGCGCAUCGGGACCGCCGCCUGCUUCUUCGAUCCUGGAGAGUGAGCAGCGCGCGUCAGAUCGGGAAGCAUUGAAUCGGCGCACCAAGGGGGGAGGAUGGGUCUUCCUUCUCCCCACCAUAGCUACGCUGACAAUGGGGGGUCAGCCGGUCGUACCUGCAGGCGUUUGCACGGUGGAGGCCGGCACGAGGGGCGGACGCGGGCGGAGGCGGCGCGGGGAGACAGCGAGCGGCGGACGGCGGUCCAUGGGUCAGUCGGUCGGCCCGGGGAAGAUAUUGCUUCUUCUCGGCCUCCGGUCCUUUUUCCUUUCUCUGAUUCUCUCGGGUUUGGAAGACGAGCGGAGGCUCUUCCAUUCCAACGGUCGUCUUGCCGCUUGCGGUUGCGUCUUGAAUCAUUUCAUUUUUAAAAAAACAAACAAAGAAAGAAAAUUAUCCUGAGUUGCUGCGUCUGCCAGCGUUGUCACGGCCCGGCCCACGGCGCUGACCCCUGCCUGCUCUCAACUGCCCUUUGCGGCCUUCCCAUGUGUGCGGAGUCCCGCUGUUUAUGGCAUCGUAAUCACGACGAGUCCGCGAUUAGGGCAGCCGCAAUUAGAGAUGGCAAUGGAUACCCGCGACUCGAUAUCCGAUGGAUAUUUACUCAAUUGGGGUAUGUAUGUGAGCUAAAUAUUUUACCCGUAGGUUUAUUAUCGGGCAAAAAUCUUUAUCCAAUGGGUAAACGGGUAUUAAAACGUUCCAUCUUCACCCAUAUCCAUUAACCCAUGGGUAUAAAAUACCCAAUAUAAACUUAGCUCAAGCAUGAAUUUGGACUUUAGUCAUCUAUCUUUUUUUACUAUUUAACAACCUUUCAUGCCAUAAUCUCAUAGAAGGCUUAGCGACAAUUUAAUGACCAUGUAAUGAGACAUGUAAUGUGCUAUGUAGUACUGUCAUAGUGUUACUACUUUAUCCAAUUAUCUUUGGUGUGUUGAAUGGAUGACUAAAUGAUGUUAUUUAGAUGGAUAUACAUGACAUUUGUAUAAUAUAAUAUUUUAAUAAAUGUUUAAUUAUUGUGGGUACGGGUGACCCGAUGGGUGACCCAUACCCACGUGGGUAUGUGUACGGGGGUAAAUCCAUACCCACCAGUGUAUAUGGGUGACCCGAUGAGGUUAUUUUUUGUCGUGGGUAUGGGUAUGGUGUAGUAAUACCCGAUGGGUAUUUACCCAUUGCCAUCUCUAGCCGCAAUGAUAAAUCUUUGCAAUGGUGUAUUAUAGUAGAGAUAUAUAGUUAUUUUUAAUACUUAUAUAUACUCUCUAUACCACUUUAGUUUCUGCAUAUAGGCUUACUUCAGAUUUAUAGAUAACAACUCUCUCUUAUCAUUUAAUUUCUUGUCACAUAGGAUAGAUGCUAAUAUGGCCUCCUUAUAGUGAGUUGACUUGGCACCAUUGCGUCUGCCCUUACGGGUGUUUAAUAAGGCUAUUCACAAUGAUUGUUUACCAUCAUUAUGAUUUCAAGCAUAUUUAAUAGUGUGGCACAUAGAAUUUUUUGAUGAUAUGCACAACAAUUAAGAGAAUUGAGUUUCAUGGAUUGAAAUUAGUUUCAUGAGGAUGAAACCAUGUCAACUCGUUUCCAAGGUUUUGAAAAUCGCGUGAAAACCUUCAUUGAGAGUGGUUUGUUUCAUGUUCACAUAUUUUACUAUCUUCUAUUGGCCAUUGAGUUGCAACAUUUAAAUAGUAUGUUAGCCUAUGAAAUAGUGAAGUGAAAUAUUGUAUUAAGAGUCAUUGUUUCAUUCAUAAUUUCAUAACACUUUUGACGAUGUGCACAUAUAAUUUUUUGAUGAUAUAGCAUAGCAAUUAAGAGAAUUUAGUUUCAUGGAAUGAAAUUAGUUUCAUGAGGAUGAAACCAUAUCAACUCGUUUCCAAGGUUUUGAAAAUCGCGUGAAAACUGAAAGGGAAAUAGGGUUUAACCUUUUCCUAUAAAUAAUUUUGGUGGUUGAAUGCCCAACACAAAUAAUUAGAACUAUCUGAUUUGCUCUAAAUUAUAUAUUCUACAGGUGCUAAAGGUUCAAAACAAACCAAUAAAAAGAUCAAGUUAGGGUUCAAAAGAAAAGAGGAAAAAGAAACCGAAGAGAACCCUGGUCUGGCGCACCAGACUGUCCGGUGUACCAUCGGAUAGUGUCCGGUGCCCAGGGCCGUACGACUUCAAACUUGCCACCUUCGGGUUUCAGAAGAGCCGCUCCGCUAUAAUUCACCGGACUGUCUGGUGCACCAGCAGAGCAACGACUAGGUAGCGCAACGGUCGUCUGCAACGUGAAUAGUGAAGAACAGUGCGCGCAGAAGUCAGAGCAGCCGCCAUAGGCGCACCGGACAGUGCACAGUACCUGUCAGGUGUGGCACCUGAAAGGGAAAUAGGCUCACACCUUUUCCUAAUUGAUUUUGGUGGUUAAAUUGCCCAACACAAAUAAUUGGACUAACUAGUUUGCUCUAGAUUAUAAGUUCUACAGGUGCCAAAGGUUCAACACAAACCAAUAAAAAGUCCAAGAAAGGGUUCAAAUAAAAAGAGCAAAAAGACAACCAAAGGCUACCCUGGUCUGGCGCACCGGACUAUCCGGUGUGCCACCGGACAGUGUCUGGUGCACCACCGGACAGUGUCUGGUGCACCAGGGAGAUCAACUCCAAACUUGCCACCUUCGGGAAUUUGGGAAGCCACUCCGCUAUAAUUCACCGGACUGUCCGGUGUGCCAAGCGGAGCAACGGUCGCCAACGCAACGGUCGAGUUCAACGGUCGGCUGACAACGCUAUUGUCGGCGUUUCGAGACAGGGGGGUCCCUAAGCCGACGAGUGAGUGUGCUGCGUGCCCCAGCCCAGAUGGGUCGAGCGCGUGGGCGAGCGCGAAGGGGGGAGAGGCGAGGUGGCCGGAGUCGAGCGUGAGAGAGGUGGAAGUCCCGCGGCCUUCGUGUUCGUCCCGCGCCCAGGUCAGGUGCGCUUGCAGUAGGGGGGUUACAAGCGUCCACGUGGGUGAGGGAAGCGAGCGGCCCCAAGAGAGCGCCUGUCCCGUCCUCGGUCCCGCGCGGCCAACCUUCUCUAAGAAGGCCCUGGUCCUUCCUUUUAUAGUCGUAAGGAGAGGAUCCAGGUGUACAAUGGGGGGUAGCAGAGUGCUACGUGUCUAGCGGAGAGAGAGAGAGCUAGCGCCCUGGGUACAUGCCAAUGUGGCAGCCGGAGAGGUCUUGGCACCUUGCUGGCGUGAUGUCGUGGCUGUCGGAGGAGCGACGGAGCCUGGCGGAGGGACAGCUGUUGGAGCGGUCGAGUCCUUGAUGACGUCGCUCUGCUGCCGUAAGAGAGCUAAGAGCCGCCGUCGUCACAGAGCUUGGGGGGCGCCAUCAUUGCCCAUCCGGCGGAGCUGGCCAGAUGGGACGUCGGUCUUGUCCUUCGUGUCCCAAGUCGGCUCGGGGUAGGUUGGUGAUGGCGCUUCCUGUUGACGUGGCGGACCUGUGCCCUAGGCAGGGCGACGUGGGGGCUCCUCCGAAGUCGAGGUCGAGUCUGCCUUCCGUUGCCGAGGCCGAGCCCGAGCCCCCGGGUUGGGCGAGGCGGAGAUUGUUUGGCCGAGGCCAGGGCGGAGUCCGAGCCCUGGGGUCGGGCGAGGCGGAGAUCGUUUGGCCGAGGCCAAGGGCGGAGUCCGAGCCCUGGGGUCGGGCGAGGCGGAGAUCGUUUGGCCGAGGCCAGGGCGGAGUCCGAGCCCUGGGGUCGGGCGAGGCGGAGAUUCGCCGUCUUCCGGGUCUUAGCCCGAGUCCGAGCCCUGGGGUCGGGCGGAGCGGAGUUCGCCGUCUUCCGGGUCUUAGCCCGAGUCCGAGCCCUGGGGUCGGGCGGAGCGGAGUUCGCCGUCUUCCGGGUCUUAGCCCGAGUCCGGGCCCUGGGGUCGGGCGGAGCGGAGUUCGCCGUCUUCCGGGUCUUAGCCCGAGUCCGAGCCCUGGGGUCGGGCGGAGCGGAGUUCGCCGUCUUCCGGGUCUUAGCCCGAGUCCGAGCCCUGGGGUCGGGCGGAGCGGAGUUCGCCGUCUUCCGGGUCUUAGCCCGAGUCCGAGCCCUGGGGUCGGGCGGAGCGGAGUUCGCCGUCUUCCGGGUCUUAGCCCGAGUCCGAGCCCUGGGGUCGGGCGGAGCGGAGUUUCCCAUGGCGCCUUUGGCAGGGCCCGACUGCCUGUCAGACUCACUCUGUCGAGUGGCACUGCAGUCGGAGUGGCGCAGGCGGCGCUGUCCUUCUGUCAGACUGGUCAGUGGAGCGGUGGAGUGACGGCGGUCACUUCGGCUCUGCCGGGGGGGCGCGCGUCAGGAUAAAGGUGUCAGGCCACCUUUGCGUUAAAUUCUCCUGCAACUUGGUCAGUCGGUGUGGCGAUUUAGUCAGGAUUGCUUCUGAGCGAAGCCAAGGCCUCGGACGAGCCGGUGAUGUGUCCGCCGUAAAAAGGGGGGCCUCGGGCGAGACGGAAGUCUCUCGAGGUCGGCUGCCCUUGGCCGAGGCUAGGCUCGGGUGAAGCGUGAUCGAGUCACUCGUGUGGACCGAUCCCUGACUUAAUCGUACCCAUCAGGCCUUUGCAGCUUUAUGCUGAUGGGGGUUACCAGCUGAGAAUUAGGCGUCUUGAGGGUACCCCUAAUUAUGGUCCCCGACAGUAGCCCCCGAGCCUCGAAGGGAGUGUUAGCACUCGCUUGGAGGCUUUCGUCGCACUUUUUUGCAAGGGGACCAGCCUUUCUCGGUUGCAUUUCGUUCCGGUGGGUGCGCGCGAGCGCACCCGCCGGGUGUAGCCCCCGAGGCCUCGGAGGAGUGGUUACACUCCUUCGAGGUCUUAAUACCUUGCGUAAUGCUUCGGUUGGUCUGGUCGUUCCCUCAUGCGAACUGGCCAUAGCCCGGGUGCACGGUCGGGGCCCAAGCUCUCGGGCUGGUAUGUUGACGCUGUCAACGGUUCGGCCGGAGCCGGUUUUUGCGAGAGCAGCCCCCGAGCCUCUGCACAGGGCGAGAGGACGAUCAGGGACAGACUCGGCUUUUUACAUACGCCCCUACGUCGCCUUUCCGCAAGGAGGAGGGGGGAGUGCGCCAUGUUACCCUCGAUGGGCACCGAACAUGGUGUCUCCGGUGAGCUGCAAGCGGGUAAUCCGAGUGGACGUCCGUGCCCCGUUCGUUGGGUGUCGGCUAGGGGCCCAGAGGCACGCCCAAAAGUACCUGCGGGUGAUUUGCCGGACCCGGUCCCCUGGCGACGGGGUCCGAGGGCUCGAUGCCUCCCUCCGGUGGGAUUCCGUUACAAGAUCGUUCCCGCUGGUCUCGGAAAUGUCCUAGGGUACCUCGGGAGCGCAGCCCGAGCCUCGGUUAUGUAUCGAACGUACCCCUGGUCAUCCCUCGCUCGGUGUCUGAGGCGACUGUGAACCCUUCGGGGGCCAGCCUUCGAACCCCUGAUCAGUAAUGGGCGCGGAGCCCGAGUAGCCUGAGGCGGCCAUGGAACCCUUCGGGGGGCUGGCCUUCGAACCCCUGACCAGUAGUGGGUGUCGGGCCCACGCGAUCUGAGGCGACUGUUGAACCCUUCGGAGGGCCAGUCUUCGAACCCCUGAUCAGUAGGGGGGGCUCGGAGCCCGGUUCCUUCACGGAGAAGGGUCCUUUUCGGGGUAUCCCCCUUUCCCGGUCCCUGUUGCAAGAGAUAGAGAAAGAGGAAAAAGGAAAAGGAUACGAAAUUGAACGACGUGGCGUACCUCUUUUUGACGCGGUUAUUACGGCGAAGGCGAAGCGUCGCGCGCUUCUCCCGUCAGAGGCGCCGCGUGUCCCGCCGCGGAGUUAAUGCGACGGGGCGUGUAGUUGGCGGGGCGGCCGUUGCGCGUGCGCGAUCCGUUCGAGGAACGGGUCACGGGUGCACCGUCUUCACGCCGUGAGAGGAGGCUCUCUUGUUGUCCCAGGAUGAGACGUGAGCCUGGCUGACGACGUGACUGCUGCGCCCGCCCGCCUGCCACCGCCAUUACUGCCGGCCCACUUUCGGUCGCUUUGACCGACGCGCCAGGCUGGCGCUGCUGGGUCGCCUCGAGUCGCGGCAUAGGCUCCGCAACCGAAGAGGCGCGAUGGUGGCACGAGUGGCGGUGCGGUUGCUUGCAUGCAGCAACUGGCGCGCCGAUUGCUUGACGCGUGGGUCUGGGCUUCCAAGCUGGCGUGUCAGAAGUCGGAGAAGCGCAUCCACCUGGCGCGGUUGCAUGCCGCCUGCAUGGCUGCCUGCCCCUUCCGCCCGUUGGUCUGGGCAAAAGUGGGGGUCGCUUGUAACCGCUGGGCGGUCGUGCGCACCACGCGCGGCGGUUUGGCUUCUUCUGCCCUGAGCCGGUUUGCAUGACAUGCGGGACCCAGCCCCCGAGUCGCAGGGGAGGGCCUUGGAGCGUGUUGUAGUAGACUUAGCCCGCGGCGUCUGGGGGCGCACGUAGGGAGAGUUGCCUUUAAAAGGAGGGAGACUCCUUUCAGAAGGCAACCAUGUCUUCUUCCUCCCUUAUGCGUCGUGUCUUUCCAUCUUCCAAGCCCCCGGAUGGGGGGUAUCCGCCGCCUUUCCGCCUCCUCGUUGGAGGAACGCAACUCCAUGGGAGUUGGUACCUCUCAGCCAUCGUUCGGCUUCAAGGAUUUUCAUCAUGCAGCCCGGUUGCUCCCCUCCACCGGCGGUCACCCGAGAUGAUGACCUCCGGCUUGAUGGUGGGGGAAAGCGAGCCGGGCUGCGGCCUCUGCCCCUCCCUCAGCCUCAAGGAUUUUCAUCACCAGGGCUGGGGAGGGGAGUGCGCCGAGUUGAGGUCGGCCCCCGCGUGGGCGGCGGCCCGCUCCUUCACUCAGUGAUCGGAGGGAAGGGCGGCCGUCGUCCGUGGCGCUGGCAGCUGCAGCGUGCCUGGCUUUCGGGCGCGAGUGGCUUCGGAGCCGCUCGCGGUGCUGACAUCCGCCACGGCAGCUUGAAGAGGUUCUGCUGCCGGCGAGAUAGCUGGGGCCGGCCACGGACUGACCUCCAACUCUACGGCCUUCUGCCCGUCCUUGCCUUACGAGUUUUGGCAUGGGCGGGGGCCUCCUGGCAGCGGCAUCUAGCCUGAGGUCAGCGCUGCCGCUGCUUGGCCCCCCGGAGCAGAAGUCGUCGUCGUCGCCGCUGCUGGAGCAGGUGACAGCGCGCCGUUCGUCGGCCUUCCGUUGCUCCGCAGGCCUUCCCCCUCGGAGUGGGGUUGUUCGUACCUGCGGAGGGGGAACCGGAGUUCCGUUUGUAAUGGCAUCUUCGAAUGCCAGUGUUUUUUGUUCAUUGUGGCUGUCGGGGCCUGAACAUGUAUGUAAUUUCGGCACGGAGCCGUGUUUUUUCCUCAUUUUCGAGCACUAAAUCUCGCCUGUUGAUUAUCUGAACCGCUUUGCCAAGCAUGAGUCGCCCCGUGUCAAGGUGACGAGUGAGGUAUCCGUAUCCCGGAGGCGUAGGAAUCCCUCGGCCCGUUCGGCCUUGUUGUCUGGGGCUCCUCUAGCUUAGUUAAAGAGACCCCUCGGCCGCCCUUCGAUGAGCCGAGGCCAGGGGUAGCGAUAUCAGUAUGAACAGAGGCGGAGUUGGCUCGAGAAUGGGAACCUGGUUGGCCGGAGCCUAGCCGUGUUGUCCGUCAGCAGAGCCGACGCCAAAGUCGAUCAGCCGAGGCCUCGGGUCGGGCUGGCGCCCUUGGAAGCCGGCUGGCCGAGGCCCCAGGGGUAACCGGCCGAGCCGCCUGCUCGGGCCGGAUUCCCGGAGGAGUCCCUGGACCGCGUCGCCGUCCGAGGCUGGGUUGGACUUUGCUGAAGACGCCGUCGAUGCCGAGGGUGCUACGGCUCCCUUCAGCGUGAAGACCCGAGCCUGCAGGAUCAGAUCGUCUUGUAGCGUGUGCCUUCUGCGGCCACCGAGGCCAGAAAACACACCCUCGCCGUGCUUGCGAAGCUGCGUCUUUUUUCCUCUUGUUUCGAGCAUCUGGACUUUCUGUCGGUAAUAGGGAUGUUUGUGUGAGCGAGAGUUGCUUCUCGUGGAAGGGACGAGUGAGGUAUCCGUAUCCCAGAGGCGUGGGAAUCCCUCGGCUCGGUCGGCCUUGCCGCUUACGCGUACUUUCACCCGUCCAUGAGGCCCUGUCCCCGACUUAGUCGAGAAAGCUUGAAGGACUGCUUCGGCAGGAGAGCUUCCGAACGUGAAGACUUGUUCGGUCCACGGAGUCGCUUUAUCCGAGCGCGAGUUACUUAUCGCAGAAGGUGAUGAGUGAGGUAUCCGUAUCCCGGAGGCGUAGGAGUCCCUCGGCUCGGUCAGCCUUGGCUGCUUACGUGUACUCCGUCGUUUCCAGGAUCCGCUUUCCGAAGUAGUCAAGAGGCACGAAAGAAAUCCUGCUAAAAAGAGAUCCUUUUUCGAGGAAAAAUUCGACGCAGAGGGGGUCUCCCCCCUUUUAGCCCCCGAGGGAGGGUCGGGCUUUGCCGAGGCUAGGCCGACCCUUCCUUGACGACUAAACUUUGCGCAGGUGCGAGGUAUAUGGACAACUUGGAAACAUCUUAAGGGUAGAAGCGACGUAGCUGUUUGAUGUUCCAAGCGUUGCCGUAGAUCUUGCCUUGAUUGUUGGCCAGCUUGUACGUUCCGGGCUUCAGAACUUUGGCGAUGACGAAUGGCCCUUCCCAGGGGGGCGUGAGCUUGUGCCUCCCUCGGGCGUCUUGCCGCAGCCGAAGCACCAGAUCGCCCACCUGGAGGUCUCGGGACCGGACCCCUCGGGCGUGGUAGCGUCGCAGGGACUGCUGGUACCGCGCCGAGUGUAGUAAGGCCCUGUCCCGAGCCUCCUCCAGCUGGUCCAGCGAUUCUUCUCGGCUAGCUUGGUUGCUUUGAUCGGUGUAGGCCCUCGUCCUCGGGGAGCCGUAUUCCAGGUCAGUGGGCAAGAUAGCUUCAGCUCCGUAGACCAGGAAAAACGGCGUGAAACCCGUGGCACGACUCGGCGUCGUCCUUAGGCUCCAGACCACCGAGGGGAGUUCCUUCAUCCACCGCUUGCCGAACUUGUUGAGGUCGUUGUAGAUCCGAGGCUUGAGCCCUUGUAGAAUCAUGCCGUUGGCACGCUCUACUUGCCCAUUCGACAUGGGAUGAGCCACGGCGGCCCAGUCCACCCGGAUAUGGUGAUCUUCGCAAAAAUCCAAGAAUUUUUUGCCGGUGAACUGGGUACCGUUGUCGGUGAUGAUGGAGUUCGGGACCCCGAAGCAAUGGAUGAUGUUGGUGAAGAACGCCACCGCCUGCUCGGACCUGAUGCUGUUCAGAGGUCGGACCUCGAUCCACUUGGAGAAUUUGUCGAUGGCGACCAGCAGGUGCGUGUAGUCCCCGGGCGCCUUCUGCAAGGGACCGACGAGGUCCAGACCCCAUACAGCGAAGGGCCAGGUGAUGGGUAUUGUCUGCAGAGCCUGAGCGGGCAGGUGGGUCUGCUUCGCAUAGAAUUGGCACCCUUCGCAGGUGCGGACAAUUCUGGGGGCGUCAGCCACCGCCGUUGGCCAGUAGAAGCCUUGUCGGAAAGCAUUCCCGACAAGGGCUCGGGGUGCUGCGUGAUGGCCGCAAGCCCCCGAGUGUAUUUCUUGCAGCAGUUCCCGACCUUCGGCGAUGGAGAUGCAUCGCUGGAGGAUGCCCGAGGGGCUGCGAUGGUAGAGCUUCUCUUCAUCGCCCAGCAAGUCGAACGACAUGGCGCGUCGCGCUACCCGCCGAGCCUCGACUUGGUCGGGGGGUAGCUCUCCUCGGCGAAGAUACUGCAUGUACGGGGCCUGCCAAUCUCGAUCUGGCGUGGCCCCGCUCUGCUCUUCCUCGACGUCCAGUGCCUCGCCCUCGGGGGCCGAGGGUACCUCGGGCUGUGCCGAGGGUGCCUCGGGCUGAGCCGAGGGUACCUCGGGCUCGGGCGCGUCGUCGAGCUUGACAGAGGGUUGAUGCAGAUCCCGGGAGAAGACGUCCGGGGGGACCGUCGUUCGCCCCGAGGCUAUUUUAGCCAGCUCGUCUGCGGUUUCGUUGUAGCGCCGAGCGAUGUGGUUGAGCUCGAGCCCGAAGAACUUGUCUUCCAGGCGCCGAACCUCGUCGCAGUAGGCCUCCAUCUUCGGGUCGCGGCAGUGGGAGUUCUUCAUGACUUGGUCGAUGACGAGCUGCGAAUCACCGCGGGCGUCGAGGCGUCUGACCCCUAGCUCGAUGGCGAUCCGCAACCCGUUGACAAGAGCUUCGUACUCGGCCACAUUGUUGGACGCCGGGAAAUGGAGGCGCAGCACGUAGCGCAAGUGCUUCCCGAGGGGCGAGAUGAAGAGCAGGCCCGCGCCGGCUCCUGUCUUCAUCAGCGACCCGUCGAAAAACAUGGUCCAGAGCUCCGGUUGGAUCGGAGCCGUCAGCAACUGGGUGUCGACCCAUUCGGCCACGAAGUCCGCCAACACCUGGGACUUGAUGGCCUUCCGAGGGGCGAACGAGAUCGUUUCGCCCAUGAUUUCCACCGCCCACUUUGCGAUCCUGCCCGAGGCUUCUCGGCACUGGAUGAUCUCCCCCAGGGGGAAGGAUGACACCACAGUUACCGGGUGAGACUCGAAGUAGUGUCGCAGCUUCCGCCUUGUCAGGAUCACUGCAUACAGCAGCUUUUGAACUUGUGGGUAGUGGAUCUUGGUCUCGGACAGCACUUCGCUGACGAAGUAGACCGGCCUCUGAACGGGCAAUGCAUGCCCUUCCCCUUGCCUCUCGACCACGAUCGCGGCGCUAACCACCUGAGUGGUCGCGGCGACGUAGACCAAGAGGGCUUCUCCAUCCGCCGGGGGCACCAAGACAGGCGCCUUUGUAAGGAGCGCCUUCAGGUUGCCGAGGGCUUCCUCGGCCUCAGGGGUCCAAGCGAAACACUCGGCCUUCCUUAAGAGGCGGUACAGAGGCAGACCUCUUUCGCCGAGGCGCGAGAUGAAGCGGCUCAGGGCCGCGAGGCAUCCCAUGACCCUCUGUACACCUUUUAAGUCCUUGAUGGGUCCCAUGCUGGUGAUGGCCGCGAUCUUCUCCGGGUUGGCUUCGAUGCCUCGCUCGGAGACGAUGAACCCUAGGAGCAUGCCUCGGGGCACCCCGAAGACACACUUCUCAGGAUUGAGCUUGACUCCUUUCGCCUUGAGACAUCGGAAUGUCACUUCAAGGUCGGAGAGGAGGUCGGAAGCCUUCCUUGUCUUGACUACGAUGUCAUCGACGUAGGCCUCGACUGUGCGACCGAUGUGUUCGCCGAACACAUGGUUCAUGCACCGCUGGUACGUCGCGCCCGCAUUCCUCAAACCGAACGGCAUGGUGACGUAGCAGUACAUGCCGAACGGCGUGAUGAAAGAAGUCGCGAGCUGGUCGGACUCUUUCAUCCGGAUCUGGUGAUACCCUGAGUAGGCAUCGAGGAAGGACAGGGUUUCGCACCCAGCGGUGGAAUCCACGAUUUGAUCGAUGCGAGGCAGAGGGUAGGGAACCUUCGGACAUGCUUUGUUGAGACCAGUGUAGUCUACACACAUCCGCCAUUUCCCCCCUUUCUUCCUCACAAGCACAGGGUUGGCAAGCCAUUCGGGAUGGAAUACCUCUUUGAUGAACCCUGCUGCCAUUAGCUUGUGGAUCUCUUCGCCAAUCACUCUGCGCUUCUCCUCGUCGAAUCGGCGCAGAGGCUGCCUGACGGGUCGGGCUCCGGCCCGAAUAUCCAGCGAGUGCUCGACGACAUCCCUCGGUAUGCCGGGCAUGUCCGAGGGACUCCACGCAAAGACGUCGGCGUUUGCACGGAGAAAGUCGAUGAGCACUGCUUCCUAUUUGGGGUCGAGCCCGGAACCGAUCCGGAUCUGCUUGGUGGUGUCGCCACUGGGGUCAAGAGGGACGACCUUAACCGUCUCCGCUGGCUCGAAGUUGCCGGCAUGGCGCUUCACGUCUGGCACCUCCUUGGAGAGGUUCUUCAGGUCGGCGAUGAGGGCCUCGGACUCGGUGAGGGCCUCGGCGUACUCCACGCACUCCACGUCGCAUUCGAACGCGUGUUUGUACGUGGGGCCGACGGUGAUGACCCCGUUGGGGCCCGACAUCUUGAGCUUCAGGUAGGUGUAGUUGGGGACGGCCAUGAACUUCGCGUAGCAUGGCCUCCCUAGUACGACGUGGUAGGUUCCUCGGAACCCGACCACCUCGAACGUCAGGGUCUCCCUUCGGAAGUUGGAGGGCGUCCCGAAGCAGACGGGGAGGUUGAGUCGCCCGAGGGGCUGGACGCGCUUCCCAGGGAUGAUCCCGUGGAAGGGCGCAGCGCCUGCUCGGACGGAGGAUAGAUCGACGCGCAGGAGCUUGAGGGUCUCGGCGUAGAUGAUGUUGAGGCAGCUGCCCCCAUCCAUCAGGACCUUGGUGAGCCUGACAUUGCCGACAACGGGGUCGACGACGAGCGGGUAUUUCCCCGGGCUCGGCACAUGGUCGGGGUGGUCGGCCUGGUCGAAGGUGAUGGGCUUGUCGGACCAGUCUAGGUAGACUGGCGCCGCCACCUUCACCGAGCAGACCUCCCGGCGCUCUUGCUUGCGAUGCCGAGCCGAGGCAUUCGCCGCAUGCCCUCCAUAGAUCAUGAAGCAGUCGCGGACCUCGGGGAACUCUCCUGCUUGGUGAUCUUCGUUCUUGUCGUCGUCGCGGGCCCUGCCACCCUCGGCGGGUGGCCCGGCCCUGUGGAAGUGACGCCGAAGCAUAACGCACUCCUCGAGGGUGUGCUUGACGGGCCCCUGAUGGUAAGGGCACGGCUCCUUGAGCAUCUUGUCGAAGAGGUUUGCACCUCCGGGGGGCUUCCGAGGGUUCUUGUACUCGGCAGCGGCGACAAGGUUCGCGUCAGCAGCGUCGCGUUUCGAUUGCGACUUCUUCUUGCCUUUCUUCUUGGCGCCGCGCGGAGCAGACGCCUCGGGAGCCUCUUCCGAUGGGCGGCCCUGGGGCUGCUUGUCCUUUCGGAAGAUAGCCUCGACCGCCUCCUGGCCAGAGGCGAACUUGGUGGCGAUGUCCAUCAGCUCGCUCGCCCUGGUGGGGGUCUUGCGACCCAGCUUGCUCACCAGGUCGCGGCAAGUGGUGCCGGCGAGGAACGCGCUGAUGACAUCCGAGUCGGUGAUGUUGGGCUGCUCGGUGCGCUGCUUCGAGAAUCGCCGGAUGUAGUCCCGGAGCGACUCCCCCGGCUGUUGCCGGCAGCUUCGAAGGUCCCAGGAAUUCCCGGGGCGCACGUAUGUGCCCUGGAAAUUGCCAGCGAAGGCCUGGACCUAGUCGUCCCAGUUGGAGAUCUGCCCCGGAGGCAGGUGCUCCAACCAGGCGCGGGCAGUGUCGGAGAGGAACAGGGGGAGGUUACGGAUGAUGAGGUUGUCGUUGUCCGUCCCACCCAGUUGGCAGGCAAGGCGGUAGUCCGCGAGCCACAGUUCCGGUCUCGUUUCCCCCGAGUACUUCGUGAUAGUAGUCGGGGGUCGGAACCGGGUCGGGAAUGGCGCCCGUCGGAUGGCCCGACUGAAGGCCUGCGGACCGGGUGGUUCGGGCGAGGGACUCCGAUCCUCCCCGCUGUCGUAGCGCCCCCCACGCCUGGGGUGGUAGCCUCGGCGCACCCUUUCGUCGAGGUGAGCCCGAUGGUCGCGUCGAUGGUGCUCGUUGCCGAGGUGGCCCGGGGCCGCAGGCGCGGUGUUGCGCGUGCGCCCGGUGUAGACCGAGGCUUCCCGCAUGAAUCGGGAAGUCGCGGCGUGAGGUUCCGAGGGGUAUCCUUGCCUUCGGGAGGCAGUGCUCUCGGCCCGUCGGGCCGCAGCGCCUUACAGGAGAUUCUUGAGCUCUCCCUGGAUUCGCCGACCCUCGGUGGUUGAUGGUUCCGGCAUCGCGCGGAGGAGCAUCGCUGCGGCUGCCAGGUUCUAACCAACCCCGCUGGAUGCGGGCGGCGGCCUGACCCUGACAUCGUUGGCGACGCGGUGCCGGAGACCUUGGGGCAGGUGACAUAUUUCUCCGGCCAAGGGUUGGCCCGCCCAUGCCUGUCCGACGUCCCGACGGAUCGGCUCAAGCGCUCCUGUUCCCUCGUUGAGCCUGGCCUGCGCCUCGCGGACUUGCUCGAGUUGUGGGUCGUAACCCCCCGCCGGAGCGGGGACCACAGCUAGCUCCCGUGGGGUGUCGGCGCGAGGCACCGGCCUAGGAAGAUCACCGUCCUCCGGCAUGCCGAGAUGGUUGCCUUCGGAGGGAUCCCCUAGCUCGAUGUGGAAACAUUCGCGGCUUGGGCCGCAGCUCUCGUCGCCAAGGCUGCGGCUUCCGUCGGAACAGUCGGAGAGGCAGUAGUCACAUGCGGUCAUGAAGUCCCGCACGACACUGGGGUUGCCAAGUCCGGAGAAAUCCCAACAGAUGCUGGGAUCGUCAUCUUCCUCGGACCCAGAGGGCCCGUAGGUCGAGACGUCCGUCAGCCGGUCCCAAGGCGACCGCAUACGAAACCCCAGUGGGGUUGCACUCGCCUCAAUGAGAGCGCCCGCCAAAACGAGAUCGUUUGGCGGGUUGAGGCCGAGUCGAAAUGACGCAAGAUGGGAGUUAGUUGGUACCUUUUGGUCGACGAGGAGCGACGUAGUCACAUCGGGGACUGGUUGCACCGUCAUCUCAGGUACGAGGGCGACGUCCUGCAGGCUUUCCGCGAGCGCGCUGGCGUCGUCUUCUUGUUCGGGGUCGGCGUGUCGCGGGGGGACGGCGCUUGCCUCCGUCUUGAACGCGAGGUCGACGUCCGGCGUGCCUUCCGUCGGGGCGUCGGGGGCGUCGAUUCGCUCGACGGCCAAUGAAGCGCGGCCUCCCGCCUGGCCUUGACGGCCCCGCCUCCUCCUCCGUUGGCGGGGGAGAGAACGGAGCGAGCUCGAAUGUUGCUCUUCCACCACGCGGGGAAGAUGUCGUCGAUUCCGCCGCCGGCGGGCGGGCUGUCGGCCGCCAUUGUCGUCGUCGCGCGGCGGUGGAAGAAGUAUCAUGUCGUAGCUGCCGUCGAAGGACAUGAACUCAAGAGUCCCGAAACGAAGCACCGCCCCGGGCCGGAGAGGUUGCUGGAGACUGCCCAUCUGGAGCUUGACGGGGAGCUGUUCGUCAGCACGCAGCAGGCCCCUACCUGGCGCGCCAACUGUCGGCGUUUCGAGACAGGGGGGUCCCUAAGCCGACGAGUGAGUGUGCUGCGUGCCCCAGCCCAGAUGGGUCGAGCGCGUGGGCGAGCGCGAAGGGGGGAGAGGCGAGGUGGCCGGAGUCGAGCGUGAGAGAGGUGGAAGUCCCGCGGCCUUCGUGUUCGUCCCGCGCCCAGGUCAGGUGCGCUUGCAGUAGGGGGGUUACAAGCGUCCACGCGGGUGAGGGAAGCGAGCGGCCCCAAGAGAGCGCCUGUCCCGUCCUCGGUCCUGCGUGGCCAACCUUCUCUAAGAAGGCCCUGGUCCUUCCUUUUAUAGUCGUAAGGAGAGGAUCCAGGUGUACAAUGGGGGGUAGCAGAGUGCUACGUGUCUAGCGGAGAGAGAGAGAGCUAGCGCCCUGGGUACAUGCCAAUGUGGCAGCCGGAGAGGUCUUGGCACCUUGCUGGCGUGAUGUCGUGGCUGUCGGAGGAGCGACGAAGCCUGGCGGAGGGACAGCUGUUGGAGCGGUCGAGUCCUUGAUGACGUCGCUCUGCUGCCGUAAGAGAGCUAAGAGCCGCCGUCGUCACAGAGCUUGGGGGCGCCAUCAUUGCCCAUCCGGCGGAGCUGGCCAGAUGGGACGUCGGUCUUGUCCUUCGUGUCCCAAGUCGGCUCGGGGUAGGUUGGUGAUGGCGCUUCCUGUUGACGUGGCGGACCUGUGCCCUAGGCAGGGCGACGUGGGGGCUCCUCCGAAGUCGAGGUCGAGUCUGCCUUCCGUUGCCGAGGCCGAGCCCGAGCCCCCGGGUUGGGCGAGGCGGAGAUCGUUUGGCCGAGGCCAGGGCGGAGUCCGAGCCCUGGGGUCGGGCGAGGCGGAGAUCGUUUGGCCGAGGCCAGGGUGGAGUCCGAGCCCUGGGGUCGGGCGAGGCGGAGAUUCACCGUCUUCCGGGUCUUAGCCCGAGUCCGAGCCCUGGGGUCGGGCGGAGCGGAGUUCGUCGUCUUCCGGGUCUUAGCCCGAGUCCGAGCCCUGGGGUCGGGCGGAGCGGAGUUCGCCGUCUUCCGGGUCUUAGCCCGAGUCCGGGCCCUGGGGUCGGGCGGAGCGGAGUUCGCUGUCUUCCGGGUCUUAGCCCGAGUCCGAGCCCUGGGGUCGGGCGGAGCGGAGUUCACCGUCUUCCGGGUCUUAGCCCGAGUCCGAGCCCUGGGGUCGGGCGGAGCGGAGUUCGCCGUCUUCCGGGUCUUAGCCCGAGUCCGAGCCCUGGGGUCGGGCGGAGCGGAGUUCGCCGUCUUCCGGGUCUUAGCCCGAGUCCGAGCCCUGGGGUCGGGCGGAGCGGAGUUUCCCAUGGCGCCUUUGGCAGGGCCCGACUGCCUGUCAGACUCACUCUGUCGAGUGGCACUGCAGUCGGAGUGGCGCAGGCGGCGCUGUCCUUCUGUCAGACUGGUCAGUGGAGCGGUGGAGUGACGGCGGUCACUUCGGCUCUGCCGGGGGGGCGCGCGUCAGGAUAAAGGUGUCAGGCCACCUUUGCGUUAAAUGCUCCUGCAACUUGGUCAGUCGGUGUGGCGAUUUAGUCAGGGUUGCUUCUGAGCGAAGCCAAGGCCUCGGGCGAGCCGGUGAUGUGUCCGCCGUAAAAAGGGGGGCCUCGGGCGAGACGGAAGUCUCUCGAGGUCGGCUGCCCUUGGCCGAGGCUAGGCUCGGGUGAAGCGUGAUCGAGUCACUCGUGUGGACCGAUCCCUGACUUAAUCGUACCCAUCAGGCCUUUGCAGCUUUAUGCUGAUGGGGGUUACCAGCUGAGAAUUAGGCGUCUUGAGGGUACCCCUAAUUAUGGUCCCCGACAGCUAUAGUGCGCGGACUGCGCGCGCAGAAGUCAGAGCAGACGUAGAUGGCACACCGGACAGUGAACAGGACCUGUCCGGUGCACCACCGGAUUGUCCGGUGGCCCACAUGUCAGAAGCUCCAACAGUCGAACCCUAACGGUUGGGUGACGUGGCUGGCGCACCGGACAGUGUCCGGUGGCGCACCGGACUGUCCGGUGCGCCCUUCAACAUCAGAGUUUCCCAACGGCCAUUUUGGUGGUUGGGGCUAUAAAUACCCACUCUUCAAGGCAUCCAAGCAUUCACUACUCCUCAUUCAAUACAAGAGCAAUACACAACACUCCAAGACACAAAUCAAAGCCUCCGAUCAAAUCAAAGUCCACAAUUCAACUCUAGUUUUUAGGACUUGUGAGAAGAUUGGCUUGUGUUCUUUUGUUGUUCUUGUUGCUUGGUUGGCUUUCUUUUUUCUCUCAUUCUUACUCUCAAAGCCUUGUAAGCAAAGCAAGAGACACCAAUUGUGUGGUGGUCCUUGCGGGGUCUAAGUGACCCGAGAAAUCAAGGAAGGAAGCUCACUCGGUCUAAGUGACCGUUUGAGAGAGGGAAAGGGUUGAAAGAGACCCGGUCUUUGUGACCACCUCAACGGUGAGUAGGUUUGCAAGAACCGAACCUCGGUAAAACAAAUCACCGUGUCAUCCGCUCUUAUUCGCUUGUGAUUUGUUUUCACCCUCUUUUUUGGACUCGAUUAUAUUUCUAGCACUAACCCCGGCUUGUAGUUGUGCUUAAAGUUUAUAAAUUUCAGAUUUGCCUAUUCACCUGCCCUCUAGGCGACUUUCAAUUGGUAUCAGAGCCCGGUACUUUAUCAAGAGCCUAACCGCUCGAAGUGAUGUCGGGAGCUCACGCCAAGAAGGAGAUGGUGACCGGCGAGAAGCCCGCCACAAGCCACGGGAAGGCUCCAUCGGGGGAGUCCGGCAACAAGAAGAGGGAGGAAUCACCUCCCCACGUUAAGUCGCACCGGAGUGGCGACAAGAAGAAGAAAAUGAAGAAAGUGGUCUACUACGAGACUGAUUCUUCGUCGCCUUCCACCUCCAGCUCCGACGUGUCGUCCGUCACUUCUAAGCGCCAUGAGCGCAAGAAGUUUAGUAAGAUCCCCUUACGCUAUCCUCGCAUUUCCAAACGCACCCCUUUACUUUCCGUCCCACUAGGCAAACCACCGGUUUUUGACGGUGAAGAUUAUUGUAUGUGGAGUGAUAAAAUGAGGCACCAUCUAACCUCACUCCACGCUAGUAUUUGGGACAUUGUUGAGUUUGGUGCACAGGAACCAUUCGUAGGGGAUGAAGGCUAUGACUCGGACGAGGUAGCCCAAAUCCGGCACUUCAACUCCCAAGCCACUGCUAUACUCCUCGCCUCUCUAAGUCGAGAGGAGUAUAAUAAGGUGCAAGGUUGAAGAGUGCCAAAGAGAUUUGGGACGUACUCAAGACCGCACACGAAGGAGACGAGGUGACCAAGAUCACCAAGAGGGAAACGAUCGAGGGGGAGCUCGGUCGCUUGAUGCUUCACCAAGGAGAGGAGCCACAAGCCAUGUACAACCGGCUCAAGACCUUGGUGAACCAAGUGUGCAACCUCAGGAGCACCAAAUGGGAUGACCAUGAAAUGGUCAAUGUUAUUCUAAGAUCACUUGUAUUUCUUAAUCCUACACAAGUUCAAUUAAUUCAUGGUUAUGUCUCUCGAGGAGGUUAUAGGAAAAUUUGUGAGCUUUGAAUUGAUGAUCAAAGGCUCCAAGAAAAUCAUCGAGCAAGGCGCCUCCUCCACACCCGAGAUGCAACUCGUCGCAUUCAAGGCGACAGAGGAGAAGAAAGAAGAGUCUACAUCAAGUAGACUCCCCAUCGACGCCUCCAAGCUCAACAACGAGGAGAUGGCGCUCAUCAUCAAGAGCUUUCGCCAAAUUCUCAAGCAAAGGAGGGGAAAGGACUACAAGCCCCGCUCCAAGAAAGUUUGCUACAAGUGUGGUAAGCCCGGUCAUUUUAUUGCAAAAUGUCCAUUAUCAAGUGAUAGUGACAGGGGCGACGACAAGAAGGGGAGAAUAAAGGAGAAGAAGAAAUAUUACAAGAAGAAGGGCGGCGAAGCCCAUGUAUGCCGCGAGUGGGACUUCAACGAGAGCUCCACCGACUCCUCCUCCGACGAGGACGCCGCUAACAUCGCCGUCAACAAGGGCCUCCUCUUUCCCAACAUCGGCCACAAGUGCCUCAUGGCAAAGGACGACAAAAAGAAGGUAAAAUCUAGAGCCUCCACUAAACAUGCAACAUCUAGUGAUGAUAACUCUAGUGAUAAUGAGGAUAAUUUACUUGCCCUUUUUGCCAACCUUAACAUGCAACAAAAAGAAACGUUAAAUGAAUUGAUUAGUGCUAUUCAUGAGAAGGAUGAACUUUUGGAUACCCAAGAGGACUUCCUUAUUAAGGAAAAUAAGAAGUGAAAGUCGCCUAGAGGGGGGGUGAAUAGGGUGAAUCUGAAAUUUAGAAACUUUAACACAACUACAAGCUGGAGUUAGCGUUAGAAAUAUAAACGAGUCCAAAAGAGAGGGCGAAAACAAAUCACAAGCGAAUAAGAGCGGAUGACACGGUGAUUUGUUUUACUGAGGUUCGGUUCUUGCAAACCUACUCCCCGUUGAGGUGGUCACAAAGACCGGGUCUCUUUCAACCCUUUCCCUCUCUCAAACGGUCACUUAGACUGAGUGAGCUUCUCUCUCAAUCAAACGGGACACUAAGUCCCCACAAUGACCACCACACAAUUGGUGUCUCUUGCCUUGGUUACAAUUGAGUUGGAAUCAAGAAAGAAUGAAGAAGAAAAGCAAUCCAAGCGCAAGAGCUCAAAUGAUCAUAGGUAUCUCUCUCUCACUAGUCACUAUUUGAUUGGAAUUGUCUUUGGACUUGGGAGAGGAUUUGAUCUCUUUGGUUGUGUAUUGUAUUGAAUGCUAUAGCUCUUGUAUGAGGUGUGAAGGCUGAAAACUUGGAUGCCAUGAAUGGUGGGUGGUUGGGGUUAUUUAUAGCCCCAACCACCAAAGGAGCCGUUGGUGGAGGCUGCUAUCGCAUGGCGCACCGGACAGUCCGGUGCGCCACCAGACAGUGUCCGGUGCGCCAGCCACGUCACCUGACCAUUAGGGUUCGACCGUUGGAGCUUCUGUCUUCUGGGCCACCGGACAGUCCGGUGGUGCACCGGACAGUCACUGUUCACUGUCCGGUGCGCCUUUUGGCUCUGCUCUGACUUCUAUGCGCACUGUAGCGCAUUAACUGCUCUCUGCAGACGACCGUUGGCGCGAAGUAGCCGUUGCUCCGCUGGCACACCGGACAGUCCGGUGCUAGACCGGACAGUCCGGUGAAUUAUAGCGGAGCGGCUCCCAGAAUUCCCGAAGGUGAGCAGUUUGGAGUUGGGUUCCCUGGUGCACCAGACACUGUCCGGUGGUGCACUGAACACUGUCCGAUGGCACACCGGACAGUCCGGUGCGCCAGACCAGGGCACACUUCGGUAGUCUUUUGCUCUCUUUGUUUGAACCCUUUCUUGGUCUUUUUAUUGGUUUAUUGUGAACCUUUGGCAUCUGUAAAACUUAUAGUCUAGAGCAAACUAGUUAGUCCAAUUAUUUGUGUUGGGCAAUUCAACCACCAAAAUCAAUUAGGAAAAGGUGUAAGCCUAUUUCCCUUUCAAUCUCCCCCUUUUUGGUGAUUGAUGCCAACACAAACCAAAGCAAAUAUAUAAGUGCAUAAUUGAACUAGUUUGCAUAAGGUAAGUGCAAAGGUUGCUUGGAAUGAAACCAAUGAUUAUUUCUACUAGAUAUGCAUGGAUGGCUUUCUUCUGAAUUAAAAUUUUGAACCACGCUUGCACCACUUGUUUUGUUUUGCAAUGUUUUGGAAAUUCUUUUUCAAAAAUCUUUUGCAAAUAGUCAAAGGUAUAUGAGUAAGAUUUUGAGAAGCAUUUUCAUUUGAAAUUUUCUCCCCCUGUUUCAAAUGCUUUUCCUUUGUCUAAACAAAACUCCCACUUAAUGAAAUCCUCCUCUUAGUGUUCAAGAGGGUUUUAGAUAUUAAUUUUGAAGAGGGUAUACCAAUUUGAAAUUGUAUCAAAAAUAAGAUACCAAUAGAAAAAUCUCUUAACACAAAUUUGAAAGUCUACAUUUUUGAAAUUGGUGGUGGUGCGGUCCUUUUGCUUUGGGCUAAUACUUUCUCCCCCUUUGGCAUGAAUCGCCAAAAAUGGAUACUUGUGAGUGAAAUAUAAGCCCUUUAAACUACUUUCUCCCCUUAUGGUAAAUAAUAUAGGAGUGAAGAUUAUACCACAUUUGGAGAGCGUUGUGGAGCGACGGCGAGGGAUGAAUAAUUCGAUGGAGUGGAGUGGAAGCCUUUGUCUUCGUCGAAGACUCCAAUUCCCUUUCAAUCUAUGACUUAGCAUGAAAUGUACUUGAAACCACAUUAGUCAUAGCACAUGAAAGAGAUAUGAUCAAAGGUAUAUAUAUGAGCUAUGUGUGCAAAAUAUCAAUCAAAAUUCCUAGAAUCAAGAAUAUUUAGCUCAUGCCUAAGUUUGGUAAAAGUUUGCUCAUCUAAUGGCUUGGUAAAGAUAUCAACUAAUUGUUCUUUGGUGUUAACAUAUGCAAUCUCGAUAUCCCCCUUUUGUUGGUGAUCCAUUAAAAAAUGAUACCGAAUGGCUAUGUGUUUAGUGCGACUAUGCUCAACGGGAUUAUCCGCCAUGCGGAUUGCACUCUCAUUAUCACAUAGAAGAGGAACUUUGGUUAAUUUGUAACCAUAGUCCCUAAGGGUUUGCCUCAUCCAAAGCAAUUGCGCGCAACAAUGGCCUGCGGCAAUAUACUCGACUUCGGCGGUAGAAAGAGACACAGAAUUUUGCUUCUUUGAAGCCCAAGACACCAGAGAUCUUCCCAAGAACUGGCAAGUCCCUGAUGUGCUCUUUCUAUUAAUUUUACACCCUGCCCAAUCAGCAUCGGAAUAACCAAUUAAAUCAAAUAUGGAUCCCCUGGGGUACCAAAGACCAAACUUAGGAGUAUAAACUAAAUAUCUCAAGAUUUGUUUUACGGCCCUAAGGUGAACUUCCUUAGGAUCGGCUUGGAAUCUUGCACACAUGCAUACAGAAAGCAUAAUAUCCGGUCGUGAUGCACAUAAAUAGAGUAAGGAACCUAUCAUCGACCGGUAUACCUUUUGAUCUACGGAUUUACCUCCCGUGUCGAGGUCGAGAUGCCCAUUAGUUCCCAUGGGUGUCUUGAUGGGCUUUGCAUCCUUCAUCCGACUAUAGAAGAGUGAAAUGCUUUAUCAAAGGAAAUAAGAAAAAAGAAAGGGUAUGUUGCUACUCUUUUGAAAGAAAAAAGAAUAGGAGUUCCCGAAGUAAUGUCUAAACCCAAGGAUUUCACAAAUCAAAGAUAAAGGAUUCCGGAACAAGUAAACACGAUUUUCAACUGUCUCAACAAUAGAAUUAGAUCUGAAUAAGGAAUAAAAGUCAAUUUGUUCGAGAUGAGAUAAAGAAAAGAGUUUAGAGACGACUCAAAAAAUUUCGAAGGGUUUUUCUUUUGAAACUUUGUAAGUAUGUCUUGAAUGUACUUCGUUUGGCUAAUGAAGGUGCCCUCUUGGAGUUGCUUCACUUGAAAUCCUAAGAAAUACUUCAAC
This 31913-nucleotide long non-coding RNA is filed under the name Zea mays. RNAcentral's name for it is "long non-coding RNA (ZMAY_LNC004537)". The record is from RNAcentral. Lineage: Eukaryota; Viridiplantae; Streptophyta; Magnoliopsida; Poales; Poaceae.